UGGCGCCAGCCGUAUCGCACGGUAGCUAUGUCGAGCAUGGAUAAACGCUGAAUGCAUCUAAGCGUGAAGCCAGACCUAAGAUAAGUAUUGCCAGUGAGACUCGUGGAAGACCACCACGUUGAUAGGUCGGAGAUGUAAGUGCAGUAAUGUAUUUAGUUUACCGAUACUAAUUGUCCCAAGGCUUGACCAU
Molecule: ribosomal RNA, 190 nt
Filed under: Pyrinomonadaceae bacterium
Lineage: Bacteria; Pseudomonadati; Acidobacteriota; Blastocatellia; Blastocatellales; Pyrinomonadaceae
Description: partial 23S ribosomal RNA
Rfam family: Bacterial large subunit ribosomal RNA
Source: RNAcentral